RNAcentral lists this ribosomal RNA (273 nucleotides) under uncultured Staphylococcus sp. RNAcentral's name for it is "partial 16S ribosomal RNA". It matches the Rfam family "Bacterial small subunit ribosomal RNA", at positions 505 to 777 of the family's 1533-position model. The record is from RNAcentral. Lineage: Bacteria; Bacillati; Bacillota; Bacilli; Caryophanales; Staphylococcaceae.
GUGCCAGCAGCCGCGGUAAUACGUAGGUGGCAAGCGUUAUCCGGAAUUGUUGGGCGUAAAGCGCGCGUAGGCGGUUUUUUAAGUCUGAUGUGAAAGCCCACGGCUCAACCGUGGAGGGUCAUUGGAAACUGGAAAACUUGAGUGCAGAAGAGGAAAGUGGAAUUCCAUGUGUAGCGGUGAAAUGCGCAGAGACAUGGAGGAACACCAGUGGCGAAGGCGACUUUCUGGUCUGUAACUGACGCUGAUGUGCGAAAGCGUGGGGAUCAAACAGGA